This 288-nucleotide ribosomal RNA is filed under the name uncultured bacterium. RNAcentral describes it as "partial 16S ribosomal RNA". It matches the Rfam family "Bacterial small subunit ribosomal RNA", at positions 773 to 1060 of the family's 1533-position model. The record is from RNAcentral.
GUGGAUUAUAUACCCCGGUAGUCCACGCUGUAAACGAUGUCGAUUUGGAGGUUGUGCCCUUGAGGCGUGGCUUCCGGAGCUAACGCGUUAAAUCGACCGCCUGGGGAGUACGGCCGCAAGGUUAAAACUCAAGUGAAUUGACGGGGGCCCGCACAAGCGGUGGAGCAUGUGGUUUAAUUCGAUGCAACGCGAAGAACCUUACCUGGUCUUGACAUCCACAGAACUUAGCAGAGAUGCUUUGGUGCCUUCGGGAACUGUGAGACAGGUGCUGCAUGGCCGUCGCCAGCU